This 399-nucleotide ribosomal RNA is filed under the name uncultured bacterium. RNAcentral's name for it is "partial 16S ribosomal RNA". It matches the Rfam family "Bacterial small subunit ribosomal RNA", at positions 360 to 773 of the family's 1533-position model. The record is from RNAcentral.
AAUAUUGGGCAAUGGGCGAAAGCCUGACCCAGCAACGCCGCGUGAGGGAAGAAGGUUUUCGGAUUGUAAACCUCUGUCCUUGGUGACGAAAAAAAUGACGGUAGCCAAGGAGGAAGCCCCGGCCAACUAUGUGUCAGCAGCCGCGGUAAUACGUAGGGGGCAAGCGUUGUCCGGAAUGACUGGGCGUAAAGGGCGUGUAGGCGGCCGAUUAAGUCUGGAGUGAAAGUCCUGCUUUCAAGGUGGGAAUUGCUUCGGAUACUGGUUGGCUUGAGUGCGGAAGAGGUAAGUGGAAUUCCCAGUGUAGCGGUGAAAUGCGUAGAUAUCGGGAGGAACACCAGUGGCGAAGGCGACUACCUGGACGACAACUGACGCUGAGGCACGAAAGCUAGGGGAGCAAAC